Microcebus murinus (gray mouse lemur) is the source of this 1611-nucleotide non-coding RNA. Lineage: Eukaryota; Metazoa; Chordata; Mammalia; Primates; Cheirogaleidae. The record is from RefSeq and is a predicted model, not a curated record.
AUUUUUAAUUGACGCCGGCACCUUGCAAGCAUAAGCAGUUGGCAGAAGCUGGCAGAACCUUUAUUCUUCCUUCCAAGGUGCCAAGUACCAGGCACAUCCUCAAGGGGCCCGGUGGGGUUGUUUACCCCUGGCGCGCGGCCAGGAGCGAACCGGUUUCAUCAGGCCCCGAGCAGAGACGCCACGAGCGCUGGCUGGGGCGUCCGGCUUAAUCCUCCUGUUCUUUCGGAGCUGCCUUCCCAUGGCCGCUCCUAUUGUGAGCUCGUCUCUGCGCCCUCGCCCACGGCUUCUCCACCCUCCCCGGCCACACGCGCGCACGCACUCACACACACGCUCACACGCUCACACGUACAGAACCCUUAAUCCAGCAGGGGCAGGGAUUAGAGAGCUCCCCCACCUAGCUCGGGUGGAAACACUGCUUGCAAAGACAAAGAAAAGCAAAGCCUCAGUCUUGCUCCCGAGGGGCGACCAAAGACUACUGCCACACGUCGCCCCUGAUGCGGGUCUUACUCCAUGAUGGGGCCAGGGAAGGGCUGUGCCGCAGAGGCGCCCCUGACAUGCCCAUCGCCAAUCCUGGGUGACCCUCACCAACCGUGUUUGAUAUUGGGUAGAACAAAAGAAUAAUGAUUCAGGGAACAUUCCCACUGCAACUAAAAAGGCCACUACUCUUCCCGCCUUUGGAAUCUGCUGGUUCCUGUCCCUUUCUCUGUCUUCAUGAAAGCUGCUGGCUUUGCCACCAAAGUUAUUGCUAGCCUCAUUAAAAUGAGAUGUGUCCUGAAAUGGAUUCUAGAUUCACGAAGUUCUUCAGGAGCCUGAAGACACUGGCUGGGACGGGGCUGGAGCAGCUCCAGGGCACUUCACUCUUCACGAACGUCUUGGGGAUUUGGCCUAUUGUGAGAAUUGUGAGAUCCUGGUAAUACUAAAGCUCAUUUUAUAAGGUUGGCGGCCAUUUCUUUUGAACCAUCCAUCUCGUCCUUUAAAGCAAUGAGAAUGAUCGCUUUGAAAAAUGCCCUUUCAUGAAGAGAAGUGCAGUCAUGGAAAGCACCCAGAUAAAAUUCGGGAUCCCCCUUCUGCCUCAGCCCUGGAUGCGGGAGAGACUACAGCCUCAUGCUGAAGACUCUCUGAUUGACGCUCUGGUGGAGCAACUCGAGAAAAAAGACAGAAAAUGCACCUUAAUCCAUGACACCACCCUUUGCUUUGCCACUUGGGGUCCUGUGUCCAGCUUCAAUAUGGCAGCAGUGUGGCUGCAACCUACUUGCCCGCGUUCUCCUCAUGCCUGGGAACUGUGUUUUUCUCUCUGCCUCAUACUCCUGAGAUCAGUGGCUCCUGCUGACCAUCCAUGUAGGACUCCCCGGGGAAAGCAUUUUGUGGUGAGUUUUGUUUGGAGAAUGCUAUAUGUCAUUACCCCCUUCUUCAGAUUCCCAGUGAAUAUCGGAAGUUGCAAUAAAGACUGUUUUCGACAGUUGAUUUUAUUGUUUAUUACCACAGUACUAGCUCUGAAGGCCCAGGUCAUAUCCUGCAAGAGUAGGGCUUAUGGAAUUCCAGAAGCUUCUCUCCUCAGAGUCUCUCACCUCUAGCCUGAACUUUAAUUGUCCUGGGUUCAAGGCCAACCUC